GGGCUCAUAGCUCAGUUGGUUAGAGCAGAGGACUCAUAAUCCUUUGGUCCCAGGUUCGAGUCCUGGUGGGCCCACCA
This 77-nucleotide transfer RNA is filed under the name bacterium. Its description in RNAcentral is "tRNA-Ile". It matches the Rfam family "tRNA". From Rfam's summary of the family: Transfer RNA (tRNA) molecules are approximately 80 nucleotides in length. Their secondary structure includes four short double-helical elements and three loops (D, anti-codon, and T loops). Further hydrogen bonds mediate the characteristic L-shaped molecular structure. tRNAs have two regions of fundamental functional importance: the anti-codon, which is responsible for specific mRNA codon recognition, and the 3' end, to which the tRNAs corresponding amino acid is attached (by aminoacyl-tRNA synthetases). tRNAs cope with the degeneracy of the genetic code in two manners: having more than one tRNA (with a specific anti-codon) for a particular amino acid; and 'wobble' base-pairing, i.e. permitting non-standard base-pairing at the 3rd anti-codon position. RNAcentral also lists the same sequence under 7 other names. The record is from RNAcentral.